This 130-nucleotide ribosomal RNA is filed under the name Ceroxylon echinulatum. Its description in RNAcentral is "partial 5.8S ribosomal RNA". It matches the Rfam family "5.8S ribosomal RNA", at positions 30 to 154 of the family's 154-position model. From Rfam's summary of the family: 5.8S ribosomal RNA (5.8S rRNA) is a component of the large subunit of the eukaryotic ribosome. The record is from RNAcentral. Lineage: Eukaryota; Viridiplantae; Streptophyta; Magnoliopsida; Arecales; Arecaceae.
GCAUCGAUGAAGAACGUAGCGAAAUGCGAUACCUGGUGUGAAUUGCAGAAUCCCGCGAACCAUCGAGUCUUUGAACGCAAAUUGCGCCCGAGGCCAUUCGGCCGAGGGCACGCCUGCUUGGGYGUCACGC